Molecule: ribosomal RNA, 301 nt
Filed under: uncultured bacterium
Lineage: Bacteria
Description: partial 16S ribosomal RNA
Rfam family: Bacterial small subunit ribosomal RNA
Source: RNAcentral
CAGCAGCCGCGGUAAUACGUAGGUGGCAAGCGUUGUCCGGAAUUAUUGGGCGUAAAGGGCUCGCAGGCGGUUUCUUAAGUCUGAUGUGAAAGCCCCCGGCUCAACCGGGGAGGGUCAUUGGAAACUGGGAAACUUAAGUGCAGAAGAGGAGAGUGGAAUUCCACGUGUAGCGGUGAAAUGCGUAGAGAUGUGGAGGAACACCAGUGGCGAAGGCGACUCUCUGGUCUGUAACUGACGCUGAGGAGCGAAAGCGUGGGGAGAGAACAGGAUUAGAUACCCCGGUAGUCCCUGUCUCUUAUAC